CAGUAUCAAUUUCCAAAUAUGACUCAAACAAAACUCCUAGACUUAGUUUUUCCUAAAUCGCACAUAAAAAAGUAGCACAAUUGACAGAUAAGAGCAACAAAGACGGUAGUAGAAAGUGAGAACUAACCAAUUGACAGAAAGAUGAGCUCUAACCGAAGCGCAGAAGAUUUAACUUAUGUUUUAGAGAGAAGGAAUAGGUUGCAAAUUUCAGUUGAAGAUGGAAAACUUUGGAAGUAUAAAAAGCUUCAAUGGGAACACAGAAGGUAGUAGAAAGUGAGAACUAACCAAGUGACAGAAAGAUGAGCUCUAACCGAAGCGCAGAAGAUUUAACUUUUAUUUCAGAGAGAAGGAAUAGGUUGUAAAUUUCAGUUGAAGAUGGAGAACUUUAGAAGUAUAAAAAGCUUCAAUGGAAAUACUUGUGCUCCAGUUAAGGAUGUAGCUGCAAAUAGAUAUGCUUAACCCGAAAAGGACGGCUGAAAGCUGGUAAAAACUGCUCAAAACUG
This 503-nucleotide long non-coding RNA is filed under the name Capsicum annuum. Its description in RNAcentral is "long non-coding RNA (CANN_LNC022590)". The record is from RNAcentral. Lineage: Eukaryota; Viridiplantae; Streptophyta; Magnoliopsida; Solanales; Solanaceae.